Molecule: ribosomal RNA, 380 nt
Filed under: uncultured eukaryote
Lineage: Eukaryota
Description: partial 18S ribosomal RNA
Rfam family: Eukaryotic small subunit ribosomal RNA
Source: RNAcentral
CAAUAGCGUAUGUUAAAGUUGUUGCGGUUAAAAAGCUCGUAGUUGGAGUUCUGCCAGGUGCCGCCUGUCCGCCCCAGUGGUGAGUACGUGGCGCGCAUUUGGCCCUUUCAAGGGGAGCGUAUCUGCACUUUAUUGUGUGGUGCGGGAUCCUUGACUUUUACUUUGAGGAAAUAGGAGUGUUCCAAGCAGGCUCUCGUCGUGCACAGCUCAGCAUGGAAUAAUAGCAUUGGACCUCGAUUCUAAGCUGUUGGUUGCCAGAAGCGAGGUAAUGAUGAAGAGGGAUAGUUGGGGGCAUUCGUAUUUAACUGUCAGAGGCGAAAUUCUUGGAUUUGUUAAAGACGGACUACUGCGAAAGCAUCUGCCAUGGAUGUUUUCAUUGA